AGAAAUAUAAUGAAAGAAUGAAUUCCUUUAUAUCAGGAAACGACUAUCAACGUGUUGUUGGUGUGGUAUCAACGACCUCUCUGAAAACUCUCUCACAAAAACCUAUAUUCAAUCAUUAACCAUCAUUGGAUACCAUCCAUUUCAGUUCCUUCAUUCUUUCACCUGUAACAGACGGCUUACUCAGGUAAGACUUCUUCCUCCUCCCCUUCCUCCACCGGAGUAAAUAGCUGCUUCUUCUUAAAAAUUCCUAACCGGAAAGGAAAUAAGAUAAUGGGACAUGCCGGCAUAACCACUGCUAUUUCAUCUGCAGCUCUUGUUCGUUUUCACUCGAUCUCACGAUUGAUCACGCAUCUUCAUCAUCCCGCUACUUGUACCCAUUUUGCUCUCUGUGUAGCCCCUUCUCGAAGUCAAAUUUAAAUCAUACAAGAGAGGAGGCGUUCAGUUUCUUCUAGCCUAUGGAUAUUAAAUAUCUUAACACUGUGAAGCUCUAUUAUAUUCUGAGCUGAAGCGGCCAGCAACAGGAGUUCAGGGUGCUUCGAAGGCACACAAGGUUUGAAAAAAUGCUGAGUGCCAUAUGUGAAGCCCCGCUUCAUAAGCAAUCAUUUCUUAAGUUAAUGUCAUCAUUGUUGGAGGCCCUUUUGUUGGAAUACUCACAGUUUCAGCCAUGAGCUUUCCUCAGAAUGUAGUGUUUUGUUAAAUUCAGAUAUCGGCAAAAAGGGCACCUAAUAACUAUUUGGACAACACGAGAAAACCUCAGCUCCAUUCCCUUUUAUAGCUCGUCUAUGCAAGAUCUAGAAAGUA
RNAcentral lists this long non-coding RNA (801 nucleotides) under Populus tremula. RNAcentral describes it as "long non-coding RNA (PTRE_LNC000513)". The record is from RNAcentral. Lineage: Eukaryota; Viridiplantae; Streptophyta; Magnoliopsida; Malpighiales; Salicaceae.